Molecule: ribosomal RNA, 428 nt
Filed under: uncultured Acinetobacter sp.
Lineage: Bacteria; Pseudomonadati; Pseudomonadota; Gammaproteobacteria; Moraxellales; Moraxellaceae
Description: bacterial SSU rRNA
Rfam family: Bacterial small subunit ribosomal RNA
Source: RNAcentral
UGGGGAAUAUUGGACAAUGGGGGGAACCCUGAUCCAGCCAUGCCGCGUGUGUGAAGAAGGCCUUUUGGUUGUAAAGCACUUUAAGCGAGGAGGAGGCUCCCUAGAUUAAUACUCUAGGAGAGUGGACGUUACUCGCAGAAUAAGCACCGGCUAACUCUGUGCCAGCAGCCGCGGUAAUACAGAGGGUGCAAGCGUUAAUCGGAUUUACUGGGCGUAAAGCGUGCGUAGGUGGCCAAUUAAGUCAAAUGUGAAAUCCCCGAGCUUAACUUGGGAAUUGCAUUCGAUACUGGUUGGCUAGAGUAUGGGAGAGGAUGGUAGAAUUCCAGGUGUAGCGGUGAAAUGCGUAGAGAUCUGGAGGAAUACCGAUGGCGAAGGCAGCCAUCUGGCCUAAUACUGACACUGAGGUACGAAAGCAUGGGGAGCAAACA